This 1011-nucleotide ribosomal RNA is filed under the name uncultured bacterium. RNAcentral describes it as "bacterial SSU rRNA". It matches the Rfam family "Bacterial small subunit ribosomal RNA", at positions 8 to 916 of the family's 1533-position model. The record is from RNAcentral.
AGAGUUUGAUCAUGGCUCAGGACGAACGCUGGCGGCGUGCUUAACACAUGCAAGUCGAGCGGGGAUAUGCUUGGCACUGAUUACCGGGUUAGGGCGUGAGGGAUCUGGGGGUAAGCCAGAGAGGUCAUGCGCAGGCGAGGGGAGAUCGCCAUCCUAUCAGAGAUGAGGGGGAUACGCGGUAAUGAGUGCUGAGGAUAUUCUAGCGGCGGACGGGUGAGUAACGCGUGAACAAUCUGUCCCAGACAGGGGGAUAACACUUGGAAACAGGUGCUAAUACCGCAUAAGACCACGUUGUCGCAUGGCAAUGAGGUAAAAGGAGCAAUCCGGUUUGGGGUGAGUUCGCGUCCCAUUAGCUAGUUGGUGAGGUAACAGCUCACCAAGGCGACGAUGGGUAGCCGGCCUGAGAGGGCGACCGGCCACACUGGAACUGAGAGACGGUCCAGACUCCUACGGGAGGCAGCAGUGGGGAAUAUUGGGCAAUGGGCGAAAGCCUGACCCAGCAACGCCGCGUGAGGGAAGAAGGUUUUCGGAUUGUAAACCUCUGUCCCAUGGGACGAAGGAAGUGACGGUACCAUGGGAGGAAGCCCCGGCUAACUACGUGCCAGCAGCCGCGGUAAUACGUAGGGGGCGAGCGUUGUCCGGAAUGACUGGGCGUAAAGGGCGCGUAGGCGGCUUUUUAAGUUUGGAGUGAAAGUCCUGCUUUCAAGGUGGGAAUUGCUUUGAAAACUGAGGAGCUUGAGUGCGGAAGAGGUAAGUGGAAUUCCCAGUGUAGCGGUGAAAUGCGUAGAGAUUGGGAGGAACACCAGUGGCGAAGGCGACUUACUGGGCCGUAACUGACGCUGAGGCGCGAAAGCGUGGGGAGCGAACAGGAUUAGAUACCCUGGUAGUCCACGCGGUAAACGAUGAAUGCUAGGUGUAGCGGGUAUCGACCCCUGCUGUGCCGGAGUAAACACAAUAAGCAUUCCGCCUGGGGAGUACGGCCGCAAGGUUGAAACUCAAAUGAAUUGACGG